RNAcentral lists this ribosomal RNA (465 nucleotides) under uncultured bacterium. Its description in RNAcentral is "partial 16S ribosomal RNA". It matches the Rfam family "Bacterial small subunit ribosomal RNA", at positions 28 to 507 of the family's 1533-position model. The record is from RNAcentral.
GAUGAACGCUGGCGGCGUGCUUAACACAUGCAAGUCGAACGGAAAGGCUCCUGCUUGCAGGGGUACUCGAGUGGCGAACGGGUGAGUAACACGUGGGUGAUCUGCCCUGCACUUCGGGAUAAGCCUGGGAAACUGGGUCUAAUACCGGAUAGGACCACAUUUUGGAUGGUGUGGUGGAAAGUUUUUCGGUGUGGGAUGAGCUCGCGGCCUAUCAGCUUGUUGGUGGGGUAAUGGCCUACCAAGGCGUCGACGGGUAGCCGGCCUGAGAGGGUGUACGGCCACAUUGGGACUGAGAUACGGCCCAGACUCCUACGGGAGGCAGCAGUGGGGAAUAUUGCACAAUGGGCGCAAGCCUGACGCAGCGACGCCGCGUGGGGGAUGACGGCCUUCGGGUUGUAAACUCCUUUCGCUAGGGACGAAGCGCAAGUGACGGUACCUGGAGAAGAAGCACCGGCUAACUACGUG